This 3827-nucleotide long non-coding RNA is filed under the name Bemisia tabaci. RNAcentral's name for it is "lncRNA ENSSSA1NGG013648". The record is from RNAcentral. Lineage: Eukaryota; Metazoa; Arthropoda; Insecta; Hemiptera; Aleyrodidae.
UACACAGAUUUUUAUUUAAAAAUCCCUCGUAAAAUUCACGAUUCUCCAUUUUAAAACUUGAACAACCCCUAUAUCUUCUAAAAUCAUCACUACUUCCAGUAAUUCAUCGUAUAAUUUAUGAAAAAAUUCAGGAAAAAGUGAGGUUAUAUUUAUGUUUACGUUCGAUAAAAUCAAUCAAAGGCCCUUAAAAGCAUGUAAAACCGGUGCUGUUGAAUUUAAAAGUGCCCCCGGUACGUGAGAGUUGAAGCUGGAUGAUGGAGGUGCGGCAACCGGCCUGCAAGGGGUGCGGUUACCCCGUGGAUUUGGAGGUAGAUUUGCAGUGUCGGAGAUGCGGAAGUUUCGCGCAUUUUGAGUGUGCUGAGGUUGCCCCGGAAACGGAUAUCGGAAGCGUAGGGAUUCGGCCCGAUGAAGAUUAUAGCUGCUCCGUCUGUAGAUCAGAGAACCAGUCCAUGGAUCGGCUGCGCUCAGGGCAUGGUCGACAGCUGAGUCAGACACGCAAAGGCACGAGCAACACUAGCCACAGCCCUAGCCAAAUUCCUAACCGAGUGAACCGCAGCCCUAGCCGAACAAGAUAUAGGCAAAGCCACAGCACUAGUCCUGCUGGCCGAAAAAUGAGCCACGCUAGCCGCAGUGCUAGCCUCGCAAGUCAGGGGUCAAGACGAGCGGACAACGAGAGGGCGAAAUGUAACGCUAGCUUGACGAGGUAUAACACAACGAGGAACGAACAACCGGGAUAUUACCGGAAAACGAGUGGGAAAAGAGUGACCAUCCGGGAAAGCGAAGAGAUUCGGAACAGGAGAAAUUCCGACUGCGUAGAAGAUGAAGGGCUUCCAUUUCAAACGAAUCAGCAGCAAGUAUCAGAGCAGUUUCCUAUUCGACAGGGCAUCUUAUCACAACCUUGUUAUCGGGAGCCCCGCGAAACCUUUCCGUGUGAUGACCCCAACGACACACAUUUAUCUACCUUCGCCACGCAAGGACCGCGUAUUUGUCACAGACCGGCACAUAAUUCAACUAACCAGCCGCCAACAGGCUGCUCGAAGCAUGGGCAUUGGGCCUCAACACUACCUCACCAUGUGAAUCAACAGCAAAUUCACUCUGGAGUCCUGCGACAAAGUUACCUUGGGAUGCAACAGCAAUGUCACUUCGGGGGUCCACAAAUGAGUUACCUGGGGGCCUCUCAUCAGUCUUACCUUGGAACUCAAACACCGGGUCGUCCUCUGGUAAAAGCCGAGGUUCAACCCAAAUGCCCAAUGCAAAUCGCGGGGACACCCACAUUUGAUCCGUUGCAGACUACGUGCCUAUACGAGGAUUCAUGGACAAGCCAGCCUAGGUUACACUCACAACCUUGCUGCACAGACCAACGCGGUGCUGAAAAUUGGUCGACAGGAGCUGAAUGCGACUCAGCUUGCAGAGAAUUCAAAGACAGAACCGAAACCACAAAGCCACUACACCGUGACACUGACGAAGGAAAUGAGGAAACCGGAAAGCACAGUGCUCGAAUGACGGACAACUACUACCAAGACGGAAUAAGAUCUUUAAGGUCGGGCUUCUCUCCUGGGACCCAAAGCCCACGGGUAGAUGAGCCACAGUUGAGAGGUGAAAACCAUGUUCCAGAAGCCGACAUUGAUCGUCUGUAUUCGGAUCGACGCCGAGGAUCUUGGAGCACCUCUGAUGACGUCAGCCGGAAUCAAGUAAGAGAAAAAAGAAGGACCUACAGUUCGGGGGUAGACGGACCAUCGAUACCAACAGAAAGCUACGAAAUAGCACCUGACUCUCAACAAAGAUACUUUGAGCCUCUACUGACAUCCACCAGAAUCGGUUACCAGCAUAGACAAAGCCAAAAUCCAAACGUGAAUGGGUUUCCUUUGCAAAACGAAGGCUUUGCUUCGGGAUUGUAUGUUGAUCGCAGUUACUCAGAGCUCCCCACAGGACCUAGGAAGACCUCUAAUAGCGCACUGGAGGCGUACCGGAAUCAGUGCACGAGCAAUUUAGACCAACCCAGGAAAAAGGGCGAUUCCGUCAGCGCGCGACGCAGAAAGGCUAAAACGGAUCCUUGUGAGAAACUCCAAUUCGAGAACGAACCUGGACCAAAUCUUGUUCGUGGAAAUUCCAGUUGUGGCCUAGGAAUGAGGCACUCACGAUCGUUUAAUUCAGGAAUAGGACCCACCUCGUCACUGAUUCAAUCAGAGUUGAGGCCCUCGCAAUUAGAUUACGGAGGAAUGGGGUUCUGUCAACCGGUUCUCACAGAAAUGGGGCCCCCAACGCCAAAUUGCUCAGGAAUGCUCCCGCAAGACAUUGGGAUCACGUCUUGCGCAGAUAUGGAGUUCCCGGAUGCGGGAUUUUCAGUGGUGGGACCUUCAGAAUCGUUUUACCUGGGAUUGCGGACCCCCCCACCGGUUUAUAGUGACGAUCAAAACGGCUGUGCUGAUAAUCCACCUGGAGGACAUACUGAGCCCACUGGACGACACAUGUCCAACGAGCAAGAUGAACAACAAGAGACGCGGUCGAAGAUGGAGAUCUGCGAGGACCUGACGAAUGAGGCCAUCGAGACCUUGAGCAAGCUGAACAAAGCUUCUUCCAAAGUGGCGAGUGCGGACAUCAAAGAGGACCCACCUUGCUCGGAGGUCCAUUCCGUUGGCUCCGUGGAUUCGGACCUGCGCAAAGAGAGCGACUGGAUGGCUAAGCAGGCCCGUACUUACCGCCAACUCGACGAGAUCGCCGCCAAAAUCGCGGCCAUGGAGAAAAAACACGAGCACUUACUCGACGACUCAGGAGAGAAGUCCAUGGUGCGGAGGCAACGGAGCGUUCACUUUGCGUCCGACUGCGACGUGGAUGAGAAUUUGAAGGAAAUAUCGGUCAAAUUGGACACGAUGGAAAACAACCAGGUGACAUUGUCAUCCUCGUGGUUGCAGCAGCUCAAAGGUUUCAAGGCAUACACCGAGGCCGUCCAAAUGCGACUCUGCAAUCUCGAGCAACGAACCCGACUGCUGGAGGAAAAGGCGCAAGAUGCAAACCGCCAGACCAUCCGCCGCGCCAUCCAGGGCAGAGCGGGUGGGUCCAGGACGCCCUCUGUCGGGGACCUCGCAUCUAUCCAGGACCCCACCCACGUCUCCAGUCAUUCCCUCGGUUCCUCCGUCCAGGGUCAGAUAGAGAACUCUGUCCAAGGUCAGACCGAAAACUCCGAACAAGGUCAAAUUGAGGGCUCCACCCAAGGUCAGAUCGAGGACUCCAUCAGAGGUCAGAUCGAGGACUCCAUCCAAGGUCAGAUUGUGGACUCCAUCCAAGGUCAGAUUGUGGACUCCAUCCAAGGUCACAUUGUGGACUCCGUCCACGACUGCAUUGAGGGCAAAGAAGGGAGCAUCGCUCUUAGCCUGGAGGUCCUCAUCGAGGAGUUCAAAUGUCUAGAAGAGGUGCGGCAGAACUUGCUCCGGCAAGCCCGAGACAGAGGAGAAUUUCAAUCUGAUCGGGCGAUGCAAGAGUAUUUGGACACGCUGUCCCAGUUCGAUGUCGGAUUGGUGGAAAUGCGCAAACUCUUCAAGGAUGUCACGUGGCUCGUCAGGGCUGAUAUUGGCCAGGUCGCGCAGGAGAGAGAAAAGGCGCAGAAUAUAGCCGCGCAACUUAAAAAUUUGCUGGAGGAACUGGAAAUCUCGAGAAGUCGAGCUGUAAAGGCUGUUCAAAGAGUGCCCGACAAGCUGUUCGAAGACAACCAAUGCCAAGUGCUUCUCGGCUCCUUCGAAGUUAGCUCCGAAAAAUCUAGCAAGAUAGCGAAGAAAAUGCUGGACGAGAGCUCUGCCACCGGCUCUCGUGAUCUUUUGGAUAUAAUUUAA